This 197-nucleotide ribosomal RNA is filed under the name uncultured bacterium. Its description in RNAcentral is "partial 16S ribosomal RNA". It matches the Rfam family "Bacterial small subunit ribosomal RNA", at positions 335 to 526 of the family's 1533-position model. The record is from RNAcentral.
ACUCCUACGGAGGCAGCAGUGGGGAAUUUUGGACAAUGGGCGAAAGCCUGAUCCAGCAAUGCCGCGUGAGUGAAGAAGGCCUUCGGGUUGUAAAGCUCUUUUGUCAGGGAAGAAACGGUGAAGGCUAAUAUCCUUUGCUAAUGACGGUACCUGAAGAAUAAGCACCGGUAACUACGUGCCAGCAGCCGCGGUAAUAC